AAAGGAGGUUGGUCCUUCAGCCUGUAAUAGAUAGAAGUAGGUGUUUUCGGAAUUUAAUGAUACGAUCUUUCCCAUCUCUUCCUUGAGGUAGCAAUUCAGGCAUUUAUAUUGACAGUAUUUACUUAAUAUAAACCUAAGUUCAUUUAUUAUAUGUUUAUUUUAAAUUCAUGUACACUCCAAGAAAAAAAGUCCAGAAGAAAUUCCACCACAAAAAACUGCGUUAAGAUGGAGUCAAGUUUGUUGAUGUCCUUCUUGCAGGGCAUAUACGAAAAACACAGGAAGUCAUGAAUUGAGGUUCUUUCACAAUCUUUAGGAAUUACUUCCUCUUUUGGAAAAGAAAGUGCAUCAGAAGAAAAAAAAAAAAAAAAGAAAAAGAGCAGCUUAGCAUCUGCAACUCCGACCAUGUAUACAUUAUUUCUUGUGGUACUGUGCUAUAAGGUAUGUUACUAAGUCUGUCAGAUGUCUUAGGAGGAUAUUGUCCUAACACAGUGUUUACUCCAGAUUAACGCAGUAUUUUGUUUGGAAAUAUGUAGGUGUACAGAUAGAAUAAGAGAGAUAAAGUGGAUGAAACAAGUGUUGGACAUUUCUAUAUUUUUAUAUAUUAUGAAGGGCAUUUUUGAAAUUUUUCUUGCAGUUUUAGUAAUUAUUUAGCGUGGUAAUAUACAUAUAUUGUGACAGCGUUUUCUGCUAUAUCCAUUACUUUGGUGUAAUUCUGUUUUAUGUAGCAAAUAUGUGUAUAUACAAAGGAGAUUAUGUAAAAAUUAUGAUUAAAAAAAAUAGGCUGAAGCCCUUCAGAAUAGGGACCGUCUUCCUCUGUGUCUGCAAAGUACUAAAUGCCUUGGGGUCUCAGCCGGAGCUCAUGUCUGAGACCCGUGGUGACUGAAUUGCCAAGCGAUGAGUUGGGGGGAAGCAGCUCCUCUGCUUCCCGUGAGAAGCCUUAGUGCAAAAGGUGCCAUGAAGCUUUCCUUGCCAAUCCCUGGUGCUGGGGCUGUGCUGUUCAUGGUCAUUCCCAACACCACCUGCCAAGCAACCCAGAGAGCCCAGAGUCCAUGUAUCCUUUGCUCUGGUCCUUCCCUUUGACAGUAGAAAAGGAAGUCUGAGAAGAAGGUUUGGUGUCAUCAGGGAAUCUUCCUUGUUAGCAGGGUGACCCUUCCAGAGUCCAUUGGGUCCGCAUGCAGCGUCCUUUGAAGCUGAACAAAUGACUGAUGUUGACUUCAAGGGCCACUGGAUGUGCUCCUACAAGAUCAAGUUCUGCUGACAGCUCUGUUACACCUGAAGACCUGGUGUCAGGUUCUUCAGGAAUGGUCUAGAAAUACUGUAAAAAUAUAAAUAUAUUUAAUUACGUGUACUGAAAUACAAAUCCUAUUUGUUGUGGUCAGAGUUCAGAUAAUUACAGGAAUUUCGAUUUCUUGGUCAUACUUGCAUAUAUAUUGCUUUGACUGUUGUGUAUGAAAGAGGAAGUGAUUCUAAAGUCUGUGAAAGGUUGGGGUUACACCUGUUUUUUUAAUGGCCAUGUUAUUUAGGAAUGGAUGUCAGCGAAUUUAAGUCCGUAAUAAUGCAGUUUUUUGCAUUAGAACAUGUGUGUAUAUCAUACACCCACAUUUUAUAUAUAAUAUAUAUUUGGUACUAACUUUGUAUUUUCCCUGGAAUUUUGCCAAAUCGCAAACACAGAUGUUCUCACUUGUAAGACUUUGGUACUUAACUGAAUGUAUAAGAAAUGCUCUGGUAUGAAAGGAAAGAGUGUUACAUGGUGUCCCACAGUACAGGGACUCGACCAGCAGGCACGUUGCCUUUUUCACAUCUCGCUUCAUUGCAGCAUCACCUUUGAUCUCCUCAGAAGCAGUUCUGUGUCUCAGCCAAACUGCAGACAGCUGAAUACUGCCCUAGCAUGAAAGCUGACUGGUAGGUAGUAAGAAUACAGUAGUCACCAGUGUGCCACAAAUGCAUUUAUUAAAUGCAGAAAUAGACAUUUCUAGAAAGGCCAAAAUCUUAUGUUGUAUGUUCCUUUCUUGUCAUUACAUUGUAUCAUAUUGUAAGAUUAUUGUAUGUCCUAAUUUGCAUUAUAAAAUGUUUUUUCCUACUUAAAAGGCAUAAAUAUAGCAACUUUGUAUAAAGGUAGCUUUCUAGAUUUUUAUUUCUUUUAUAUGAAAAAGUCUAAACAGUGGGAGUACCAUUGCCAAAUUGUUUAUAAAAUUUCGAGUAAUUUUCCCUGUUAAAUGAAUUUGUUUUUACAAACAUUCCGUAUUUCUUAUACUAUGCAGAAAGAGUGUAUUUUUAUGUCAUUCCACAUUAAUCUUAAAAAAUUAAUUUCACUUGUUUUAAGCUGCCAUUAUUGAGAAAGCUUACCAAAUGUGCAUUUUUAAAAAAUGUGUUGUGUAUUAUGACAACAUUUUUCCCCCUUUACCAGUGCCAACUUCAUUUGGAAAAAAAAUAAAAAUUGUAGCAUGGCAAUAAACUCUUGAUUUUACAUUAAAAA
This is a long non-coding RNA of Empidonax traillii (willow flycatcher), 2476 nucleotides long. RefSeq lists it as uncharacterized. NCBI's taxonomy places the organism in Eukaryota, Metazoa, Chordata, Aves, Passeriformes, Tyrannidae. The transcript is spliced from 4 exons. The record is from RefSeq and is a predicted model, not a curated record.